AUCCAGCGAACUUGGCAGAGAUGCCUUGGUGCCUUCGGGAACGCUGAGACAGGUGCUGCAUGGCUGUCGUCAGCUCGUGUUGUGAAAUGUUGGGUUAAGUCCCGCAACGAGCGCAACCCUUAUCCUUUGUUGCCAGCGAUUCGGUCGGGAACUCAAAGGAGACUGCCGGUGAUAAACCGGAGGAAGGUGGGGAUGACGUCAAGUCAUCAUGGCCCUUACGAGUAGGGCUACACACGUGCUACAAUGGCGCAUACAAAGAGAAGCGACCUCGCGAGAGCAAGCGGAACCUCAUAAAGUGCGUCGUAGUCCGGAUCGGAGUCUGCAACUCGACUCCGUGAAGUCGGAAUCGCUAGUAAUCGUGGAUCAGAAUGCCACGGUGAAUACGUUCCCGGGCCUUGUACACACCGCCCGUCACACCAUGGGAGUGGGUUGCAAAAGAAGUAGGUAGCUUAACCUUCGGGAGGGCGCUUACCACUUUGUGAUUCAUGACUGGGGUGAAGUCGUAACAAGGUAAGCGUAGCGAG
This 524-nucleotide ribosomal RNA is filed under the name uncultured bacterium. RNAcentral describes it as "bacterial SSU rRNA". It matches the Rfam family "Bacterial small subunit ribosomal RNA", at positions 986 to 1509 of the family's 1533-position model. The record is from RNAcentral.